Molecule: ribosomal RNA, 487 nt
Filed under: uncultured bacterium
Lineage: Bacteria
Description: bacterial SSU rRNA
Rfam family: Bacterial small subunit ribosomal RNA
Source: RNAcentral
AUUGAACGCUGGCGGAAUGCUUUACACAUGCAAGUCGAACGGCAGCACGGGGCAACCUGGUGGCGAGUGGCGAACGGGUGAGUAAUACAUCGGAACGUGCCCAAUCGUGGGGGAUAACGUAGCGAAAGUUACGCUAAUACCGCAUACGAUCUACGGAUGAAAGCGGGGGAUCGCAAGACCUCGCGCGAGUGGAGCGGCCGAUGGCAGAUUAGGUAGUUGGUGGGAUAAAAGCUUACCAAGCCGACGAUCUGUAGCUGGUCUGAGAGGACGACCAGCCACACUGGGACUGAGACACGGCCCAGACUCCUACGGGAGGCAGCAGUGGGGAAUUUUGGACAAUGGGCGCAAGCCUGAUCCAGCCAUGCCGCGUGCAGGAUGAAGGCCUUCGGGUUGUAAACUGCUUUUGUACGGAACGAAACGGUGAGCUCUAAUAAAGCUUGCUAAUGACGGUACCGUAAGAAUAAGCACCGGCUAACUACGUGCCAGC